UUAUGGCCAUAUCACGUUGAAACAACCAUUCCAAUACGAUCACUGAAGUUAAGCAUCGUUGAGCUUGGUUAGUACUUAGAUGGGUAAACGAUUGUUAA
Molecule: non-coding RNA, 98 nt
Organism: Acanthosepion pharaonis
Lineage: Eukaryota; Metazoa; Mollusca; Cephalopoda; Sepiida; Sepiidae
Source: the annotation of a GenBank genome assembly